GCCCCGUUCGUCUAGCGGCCUAGGACGCCGGCCUUUCACGCCGGUAGCACGGGUUCGAAUCCCGUACGGGGUA
This 73-nucleotide transfer RNA is filed under the name Corynebacterium sp. RNAcentral describes it as "tRNA-Glu". It matches the Rfam family "tRNA". From Rfam's summary of the family: Transfer RNA (tRNA) molecules are approximately 80 nucleotides in length. RNAcentral also lists the same sequence under 1 other name. Lineage: Bacteria; Bacillati; Actinomycetota; Actinomycetes; Mycobacteriales; Corynebacteriaceae. The record is from RNAcentral.